RNAcentral lists this small RNA (28 nucleotides) under Bombyx mori (domestic silkworm). RNAcentral's name for it is "ovarian small RNA-32019". The record is from RNAcentral. Lineage: Eukaryota; Metazoa; Arthropoda; Insecta; Lepidoptera; Bombycidae.
UGACUGUGCUUUCAUGGUCGACAAUGAA